Molecule: transfer RNA, 71 nt
Filed under: Loxodonta africana (African savanna elephant)
Lineage: Eukaryota; Metazoa; Chordata; Mammalia; Proboscidea; Elephantidae
Rfam family: tRNA
About the family: Transfer RNA (tRNA) molecules are approximately 80 nucleotides in length. Their secondary structure includes four short double-helical elements and three loops (D, anti-codon, and T loops). Further hydrogen bonds mediate the characteristic L-shaped molecular structure. tRNAs have two regions of fundamental functional importance: the anti-codon, which is responsible for specific mRNA codon recognition, and the 3' end, to which the tRNAs corresponding amino acid is attached (by aminoacyl-tRNA synthetases). tRNAs cope with the degeneracy of the genetic code in two manners: having more than one tRNA (with a specific anti-codon) for a particular amino acid; and 'wobble' base-pairing, i.e. permitting non-standard base-pairing at the 3rd anti-codon position.
Source: Rfam by way of RNAcentral
GCAUUGGUAAUUCAGUGGUAGAAUUUUCACCUUCCACGCAGGAGACCCAGGUUCAAUUCCCGGCCAAUGCA